This 1522-nucleotide long non-coding RNA is filed under the name Equus caballus (horse). Its description in RNAcentral is "lncRNA (ENSECAG00000045868.1)". Lineage: Eukaryota; Metazoa; Chordata; Mammalia; Perissodactyla; Equidae. The record is from RNAcentral.
AGGGCAUCGUAACUAUCCUUUCAAUUAAAUGUGACCUGUAGUUAGUGUUUAAAAAACAUUUCUGGAAGCCCAACUGAAGGAUCUUAUGAGUCAACCAGAGACACUAAGCCGGGUGAGCACAGGCCCCACCCAGGCCUCCUGGGCCUGAUUUGGGCUGAAUCCAGUCUGCUGUGGGCGUGGGGAAGGCACGCUGUGCUCACAGCAGGGCAGACGGUUUCCAGACUCCCAGCUUCCCUUCCUGGCGCCCACUGCUCCACACAUGGUGUCUGCAUCUCGUCCUCAUCAGUCAAUUGUACCUGCCCCACCCUCCUCCAAAGCCAGGGAACCAUCUUUAAUUCAGGAUCCCAGAUGCACCAGUUCAAGAACACCAAGAGACCUUAGUUCCAUCCUCAAACGGAGGCCGUGGCCGCCAGGCUGUCAGAGGUGUCGAUCCUCUAGUGGGGCGCUCAGGGUCCUCUUCCUCCCUUAGACAUCUCUGCUGAGUAGAACGGAGCUCCCGGCACCGCCCGGACUGAGCGUUGUUGUCUUGACUGACACGCAGGGCUCAGCCACCUUGGGGGACUCAUGCAUCUUGGGGACCUUAGCCUCUUUGGAGGGAUCAACCAACCUGAAAGUUUCAACCACUUGGAGUCUUUUCUAUCUCCUUCCACACAUUUUUCUGGGAGUCAGGAUAGUCCAAGAUAGUUGACUUAGCUUUGUGUUUCCAGAAGAGAAUCUAAGAACCAAGACAGAGAGAGGAGAAGCCGAAGAGAGGGGCAGAGCAGAGACAACUGCCCUCAGAAAGGAAGGCAUAAAGGGGAUGGAGCGGUAAUCCUCACAGCAGCCCUUCAAGGUGGGUCCUGCCCUCCUGGGCCUUCACCUGGCAGGAGAACUCCAUGCUUCGACAGGCGAUGGCAGGACCUGCAAUGAGUGCUGUGAAGAAGGAAUGCCUCAACCCAGCGGGGGUGAGGAAGCAGGAGGGGUGCCGAGUCCUAGUGAUGCCCUGCAUUGACAUCCCCAGAGGACCCAAAGCCAUGUAGACAGCCAUCACCACUACCAAAUCUAUAGAAAAGUGCAUGUGGCGUAAGUGUACUACUUGCCACAUUUUCACAAACUGAACACACCCAGAUCAAGAACCACUACAACACCAGCCCAGAGCCGCCACAUGCCCUCUAGCCUGGACCCUGCAAGGCAGCCAUCCUCACACAGCAGAGUCCCUUUGCCUGUCUGUGCUUUAUAUACAUGGAAUCUUAUAGCACGUGCUUUCUGGCUGGCUUCUUUUGCUCAACAUGGCGUCUGUGUACAGUGGUAGACUGUUUAUUCUUGUCGCUGUAGAAUAUUCCCUUGGGUGGGAGGGAUUUAUUUAUCCAUUUGUUUAUUUAUUGUGAUUAUUACUGAUUAUUCUUUACUCACUUUAUUUGUCCAUCGUGCUGUGGCUGGGCACUUGGGUAGUUUCUGUUUUGGGGCGGCUGUGAUUCAUGCCCCUGUGAAGCCUCUUGACCUGUCUCUGGCUUUUCUCUUCGGCAUCUGAGAGGGACCUGCA